UCUAGCAGAUAGAAAACCAAGAAGGAAACAAUGCACAAAGUAGCAGGACCAGCGAGCGUGGCUGUGAGGACAGUGCUUGAUCUUUCUAGGCUUCUCUACUCUAAAUCUUCCAAAUAAAACAAAGGCGACGUAAGGCAACAUCGAGCUAGCAAGAAAGAAGCUAUCCUUAGCGCGGUGGUGGACAAUGUUACACAGUAACUAUCCUAAAUUGAAGAUAUGUUGAGCUUUCAGUCAUGAACGGUGUUCACCAGAAAAGCAACUAACACAGGAGGCGGAGCUCCGAACACACUCAGGUUUGUUAGCGUGCUAUUGCUGGUAGCUACAAGAAGGUGGAGCUAAGGAUGAAGACCAGUGUUGGCUUUCACAGCCUAAAGAGCCUUGCGCUGCCUCUUCAUGAAGGACAAGGAGUAGUCCCCAGGCGGCGUGCUUUUCUGCCUCUUCAUCUGGACCUGAGACUGAGCGGUUAGCUGCAGUUUGAUGGCGCUGGAGUUCACCUUGGCGGCGCACAACAGUCCCUUCAUGCCUUUCAUCUUCUCACUCUGGAAGAUGACCACUGGGGCAGCUGGGGAGGGCGAUGCCGCCUGCUGCUGAGGGGAGGGCGCCGCGUUGGGGCCAGGGGACUUAGGCUUGCCCUCAGCCCCCUCCGCGCCCCGCUGGCCUUGGGAGGAACGGCGGCGGGCCACACCCUCGCCUACUUUCUUCGGCUGAGGAGGCGCUGCCGCCGCCCCGGUUGUCUGGGAGGCUGGGGAGGUCGGGGCAGCAGGGAGGGGAGAGUUCUGUUCCUCCGGUUUGGGCUCUCUGCGGGAACCUCGUCUGCGGCCCUCCCAGGGGUCCUCGCUGGACGCGUCGUCGUCUUCCUGACAUUCUGGCUCUUUGGUGAUGAUGGACACUUUCUGACGCACCUUGGGACACAACAACGUCGUCUUUAGGUUUCAAAAUGACACUAAAGGACACUUCAUUAAACACACCUGUGCAGCGACUUCGACUGCAAGAGCAGCAAGCAUGAAUGCAAACAUGUCACGUUUAUUCACCCGCUCCUCCUCACCUGCGCAUCAAAGCGGCUAAGGGACUGGACCAGGUAGGUGGCCCAGCCCACAUGCAGCACUGGCGUGGGACUGCCCUCCUCCCACUUGCAGAUGCCGUCGUAGAAGGACAGCAGGUGGGCAAAGCAUUCUGGGUCCUGCAGGGCCGAGAAGGCGGCCGCCUGCUUUGGCUGCGCCAGGACACACAGAGCAGACUUUUGUAUGAGGACUUCACUACCCACAAUGCAACGGCAUCUUCUCUGCAGGCCAAGAACACUUACUUUAUCACCGACUUCUCCCGCAUCGCCGCUCUCAGACGGAUUUUCAGCAGCGACGGACGUUUCCUUCAGCAGAGUUGGAAUGACGUCGUUUGCAACGUCGAAGAAUUCCUUGUAGAUCUCCUCGUCCUCGCGGAAGUAGUUGUAGCUGCAACAAGAGACUUAUUUAGGAAUUCAAUUUGCUUUUGUUUGCAUCAAGACUGUAAGGGGGAGAUGGGACAUAUUAACUUCCUACUUGGACAUCACAAAAAUCUGAAAAAGUAUUCAAAAUAUUCCUGAGCCUGGAAGGAAAGUACAGAACAAUGAGGGCGCAGCAGGAGGAAAAGGAAGCUGCUAGAUUUCAGCUCAGUUGGUGUGGAUGGCAUGUGGAUUGACUGCCCUCUUGCGGUCAUAUGAGCUGUGUAAGGGGGAAGAGGCACAACGCAGAUUGAACAUAAAUUACGUUGUGACGAUCCUGACUUUUGCGACGGUGGACAGGGACGUGCACGGAUCACAGCUUCAAGUACAUUAGCAAGCUGGGGGAAACCCUGCUCAGUUUUCCUCUAUGACACUUCCAUGUCGCGGACUGGAUGAAAGUGUUACUUGGUUGCUGCAGCUUCUUCUGCCUGGUUCCGCUUUGCAACACAAUCAGUACUGUAGUUUAAGGGGAUGGUGUAUAUGUACAGUAGAGAGUCACAACAAUCUAAAUAAUUGACAUAGCAGUUUACAGUCGGUUAAAAGCUCUAAAUGUUUGUUUUCAAUUAAUCGUCCAGCCCUAAACUGUGACUAUCUUUUGCUAAUCUUUUAUAAACUGUGUUUUAACUUUCUUUGUAAUGUGUUAUACCAGGGGUUGGCAACCUUCAGCAUACAAAGAGCCAUUGGAGCUAAUUUCCCCCCAAAUAAAACCCACCUAGAACCACAAACUCUGUUAGAUUCCUAAAAUGACGAUAACACCACUUUUAGUUUCCUUACACGUGUGCAAUAGGAUUUAUAAAAUCGUACUCUUAUCUGAUUUAUUUCUGGGUAUAACAAAGCAAAUCAUCAAAUUAUUUUGAACAUUAGAAACAAAACACACUGUUCUUUCCCUUAUUAAUGAAUAAAAAAAUAAAAAUCAACUCAUCCCAAUAUUCUGAAGGCAUACGACUACGGCAUAUUCAUUUGACAAAAAAUGUAAAACAACUACCUAGUCAUAAAUAAAAACAGCAAAUUAAUAAAAAUGUAAAUAAAUAAAAUGUUUCUCUUUGAUCCGUCCAUUGCUAGGAGUUGACCGCUAAAAACAAUUCAAUUGCAUGGCAGCAAGAGGUGUCGCAUAAGGGCUGUGACAUACAUUUCUAUCGACAAUAUAUUCAAAUGUGUUUUAUUUUCCUAUGACAAGAUCCCAGAACCCUCCAAAAUAACAACUGUUAAAUUCAAAUGAACUAGGUAAAUAAAAUGAAAUGAAAUAGAUCAAGUAAACAUUAUUUGUUGACAUUCGGUUUCAAAGCCAAAGGGAGCCACGGCAGAGGCAUGAAAGAGCCGCGGGUUGCAGACCCCUGUCUUAUACAUACGCACUAAAACGUUUUCUGACUUCGGUAGAAUACAAUGAUGGCCACUGGCCAAUGCAUGCAACAAUAAGAUAGAAUAUAAUAGAACGUGUGUUCGUUUAUAAUUUUCCCCGUCAGUACCCCUCUUUGUACAGCAGCUAACUCCCGUGUAAAAAGCAUGCACAUUUUGGGGUCGCUUAGGGGUCAGACAGAAUCAGCAAUCAACCACUGAAUGGUUUGGUAAUGUAAGAGCCACACCACAUGAUUUAUGAUACUUGAAGGUAUGACGUGCAUUAUGGAGGAAGGGCUAUACCUCCACCCAAUCAGAAUAGCGCUCUCACUCUUUUUGAGUCGAUCUAUAAAAGUCCAUGCAGAUUACUGGUCCUAUUUUGAGUUUGAGUUUGAGUUUAUUUGGAACAUGCAAGCAUACAACAUGAUAAAUCACAAUUUCCAGUUUCUCUUUUCAACAUGUUCGAAAAGGAGGAGGAAGAAGCAGAGCUUAUUUAAUCCUACCCCUUUUCUUUACAUAACAGUUGCUAAAACUUUUGUUCACUUCCUGUUCUCAAUGUAUUCACAAUGUAUACUCCAUAAGUAAUAAGUAAUCACCAUACAAAUAAAUAAAUAAAUAAAUAAUUGCUUAAGUAAGUUGUAUUCCAUACGAUGAGAUAAGUCAGAUUA
This is a long non-coding RNA of Nerophis ophidion (straightnose pipefish), 3480 nucleotides long. RefSeq lists it as uncharacterized. NCBI's taxonomy places the organism in Eukaryota, Metazoa, Chordata, Actinopteri, Syngnathiformes, Syngnathidae. The transcript is spliced from 4 exons. The record is from RefSeq and is a predicted model, not a curated record.